UCUUAUCAAUGCACAGAUCCAAGCAGUGAAACAAACUCACGUCCAUAACAAUGUCAUACAAAUAUCAUUACAAAAUUUCUACAGUACAAUAUAUAUUCUUUGCAUGAUCCAAAAUAUUUGGUGGCCCCUAAAAAUGAUUACUUUCUAUAUUUGAAUCUUUCUUCAAAAUCAGAUUAUCAAAUAAAAGUGGAAAAAUCACUAUAAAUUAAAUUGCUCUCGGACCAGAAAAGGGAGCUUUUGAGCAAAAUUUGACUCCAUUAUAACAUUUUCUUGAUUUCCACACAUAGAACUAUACAGGUGCAGUCUGGGGUGGGGACACAACAUUUAGAUUUUUACAUUUUGUACUUCACAAAAAGAAAAGACGACAAAACAAUUAAAAAAGUAAAACCAUUAGAUUCAUUACUCCAAGUCUCGUGGCCAUAUUUAUACCCCCACCCCCGAAAAACUUCAAGGCGGUACAGUAUUUACUGCAUUUAUAUUUCAUAAAUAACGAAUGUUCACAUACAUAAGGGCCAGUUACUUCCAUUUUAUCCCCACAUGAAGUAUCCUAUUUAAGUGUCCAUUAACGGAUAUCUCCUCUAAUUAAAAAAAAAAAAAGUUUUACAUUCUUUUACGAGGAGACAGUGACAAAAAUAUGCCCGUUAGAAAGGAUAUUCACUAGCAGCUGAAUGGAUUACAGUGAAUUGCUCUAUUAUUAUUAUUAUUAUUAUUAUGAAACAUGGGAGCCUGAACAGUGGGGAAAGGCAUUCAUAAAAAAACUAUAAAAAACCUUAAAAAACACACAGCAAAGAAAAAAAAUAAAAGGUAAACAUACCUUCUGAGGUCUCUACAACAUAAAAUAUUCAAGUAGAAAAUUACAACACAUAGCAGCAUUCAUAAGUGUAAGACGACACACUUAACAUUCAUAAUAUCUGCCUACAUCUUGUUUCUUUACAUUUAUUUUUCAG
Sinocyclocheilus anshuiensis is the source of this 947-nucleotide long non-coding RNA. RefSeq lists it as uncharacterized. The record is from RefSeq and is a predicted model, not a curated record. Lineage: Eukaryota; Metazoa; Chordata; Actinopteri; Cypriniformes; Cyprinidae. The transcript has 3 exons.